AUUGAACGCUGGCGGCAUGCCUUACACAUGCAAGUCGAACGGUAACGGGCCUUCGGGUGCCGACGAGUGGCGAACGGGUGCGUAAUACAUCGGAACGUGCCCGAUCGUGGGGGAUAACGAGGCGAAAGCUUUGCUAAUACCGCAUACGAUCUACGGAUGAGAGCAGGGGACCGCAAGGCCUUGCGCGGACGGAGCGGCCGAUGGCAGAUUAGGUAGUUGGUGGGAUAAAAGCUUACCAAGCCGACGAUCUGUAGCUGGUCUGAGAGGAUGAUCAGCCACACUGGGACUGAGACACGGCCCAGACUCCUACGGGAGGCAGCAGUGGGGAAUUUUGGACAAUGGGCGCAAGCCUGAUCCAGCCAUGCCGCGUGCAGGAUGAAGGCCUUCGGGUUGUAAACUGCUUUUGUACGGAACGAAAAGCCUUCUUUUAAUACAGGAGGGUCAUGACGGUACCGUAAGAAUAAGCACCGGCUAACUACGUG
This 482-nucleotide ribosomal RNA is filed under the name uncultured bacterium. RNAcentral describes it as "partial 16S ribosomal RNA". It matches the Rfam family "Bacterial small subunit ribosomal RNA", at positions 30 to 507 of the family's 1533-position model. The record is from RNAcentral.